RNAcentral lists this ribosomal RNA (556 nucleotides) under uncultured bacterium. RNAcentral describes it as "bacterial SSU rRNA". It matches the Rfam family "Bacterial small subunit ribosomal RNA", at positions 918 to 1474 of the family's 1533-position model. The record is from RNAcentral.
GGCCCGCACAAGCGGUGGAGCAUGUGGUUUAAUUCGAUGCAACGCGAAGAACCUUACCUGGUCUUGACAUCCACGGAAGUUUUCAGAGAUGAGAAUGUGCCUUCGGGAACCGUGAGACAGGUGCUGCAUGGCUGUCGUCAGCUCGUGUUGUGAAAUGUUGGGUUAAGUCCCGCAACGAGCGCAACCCUUAUCCUUUGUUGCCAGCGGUCCGGCCGGGAACUCAAAGGAGACUGCCAGUGAUAAACUGGAGGAAGGUGGGGAUGACGUCAAGUCAUCAUGGCCCUUACGACCAGGGCUACACACGUGCUACAAUGGCGCAUACAAAGAGAAGCGACCUCGCGAGAGCAAGCGGACCUCAUAAAGUGCGUCGUAGUCCGGAUUGGAGUCUGCAACUCGACUCCAUGAAGUCGGAAUCGCUAGUAAUCGUGGAUCAGAAUGCCACGGUGAAUACGUUCCCGGGCCUUGUACACACCGCCCGUCACACCAUGGGAGUGGGUUGCAAAAGAAGUAGGUAGCUUAACCUUCGGGAGGGCGCUUACCACUUUGUGAUUCAUGA